This 533-nucleotide long non-coding RNA is filed under the name Sorghum bicolor (sorghum). RNAcentral's name for it is "long non-coding RNA (SBIC_LNC008074)". Lineage: Eukaryota; Viridiplantae; Streptophyta; Magnoliopsida; Poales; Poaceae. The record is from RNAcentral.
CCGGCAAACGAUUUGUCUUUACCGAGAGCCAGGGCUUAGCUCUCGGCAAAGAGGUGUAUUUGCCGAGAGCUAUGGUAAGGGCUCUCGGCAAACUUCCUUUUUUUGUUUUUAUCUACCAAACUUUUUCUCUGACCUUCUUACGCUUACUGUGACAACAUGUCAAAGUAUGGAUUAGUUUGUAGACAUUUUGCUAUAUUUCUUGCUUUUUUUUUUGUUUAAGUGAGUUUGUUGGAAAAUAUUGGUAAGAACUUCAAGAGCAUGAAAUCACGCGUUUCUAUGCACGAAAUGUCGAUAUUCAUGGUACUUACGCUAAUUGAAGGCCGUGUGCACGAAAACACCCUAGCUCUAGCACGUUUCAUUCGCGAACCCUGACUUUUGAGACGGUGCAGAAUAUGUUUUAAAUUAUAGAAAAUCCAAACGAGUUCAAAAAAUCGCAAAACUUUAUGAGGUGUCAUCACAUGUCAUGUGUAGCUUGUGGUAAAAUUUUGAGAAAGUUUCGUGCACGGCGUCACGUCGGACCCUCAGAAACCUGA